GGGGAAUAUUGCACAAUGGGCGAAAGCCUGAUGCAGCAACGCCGCGUGCGGGAUGACGGCCUUCGGGUUGUAAACCGCUUUCAGCAGGGACGAAGGGUUUCUGACGGUACCUGCAGAAGAAGCACCGGCUAACUACGUGCCAGCAGCCGCGGUGAUACGUAGGGUGCGAGCGUUGUCCGGAAUUAUUGGGCGUAAAGAGCUCGUAGGCGGUCUGUUGCGUCGGAAGUGAAAACUCAGGGCUUAACCCUGAGCCUGCUUUCGAUACGGGCAGACUAGAGGAAGGUAGGGGAGAACGGAAUUCCUGGUGGAGCGGUGGAAUGCGCAGAUAUCAGGAGGAACACCGGUGGCGAAGGCGGUUCUCUGGACCUUUCCUGACGCUGAGGAGCGAAAGCGUGGGGAGCAAACA
Molecule: ribosomal RNA, 406 nt
Filed under: uncultured Propionicicella sp.
Lineage: Bacteria; Bacillati; Actinomycetota; Actinomycetes; Propionibacteriales; Nocardioidaceae
Description: bacterial SSU rRNA
Rfam family: Bacterial small subunit ribosomal RNA
Source: RNAcentral